GCGGGUGUAGCUUAAUGGUAAAGCACUGGCUUCCCAAGCCAGCCACGAGGGUUCGAUUCCCUUCAUCCGCUCCA
This 74-nucleotide transfer RNA is filed under the name Tissierellia bacterium. RNAcentral's name for it is "tRNA-Gly". It matches the Rfam family "tRNA". Rfam says of the family: Transfer RNA (tRNA) molecules are approximately 80 nucleotides in length. Their secondary structure includes four short double-helical elements and three loops (D, anti-codon, and T loops). RNAcentral also lists the same sequence under 1 other name. Lineage: Bacteria; Bacillati; Bacillota; Tissierellia. The record is from RNAcentral.